UACGUAGGCAGCAAGCGUUGUUCGGAGUUACUGGGCGUAAAGGGUGUGUAGGCGGUCUACUAAGUCUGGUGUGAAAUCUCCCGGCUCAACUGGGAGGGUGCGCCGGAAACUGGAAGGCUAGAGUGCGGGAUGGGAGAGUGGAAUUCCUGGUGUAGCGGUGAAAUGCGUAGAUAUCAGGAGGAACACCGGUGGCGAAGGCGCCUAUCUGGCCCGAUACUGACGCUGAGGCGCGAAAGCUAGGGGAGCAAACGGG
Molecule: ribosomal RNA, 253 nt
Filed under: uncultured bacterium
Lineage: Bacteria
Description: partial 16S ribosomal RNA
Rfam family: Bacterial small subunit ribosomal RNA
Source: RNAcentral